UCCUGGAAAGAUCCUUUAUCCGAGAAACAAAACAACUCAGUUUUGCAGAAAAGCUCGAAGCCCCUCCCCGGCCUCCUGUGCAGGAGGUUUUUGCCCAGGCAAGUCCAUGGGUUCCCCAGAAGGGAUGCGAGCCUGGAAGCGCAUCGCCCUCGCCGGCGGGGUGAUCACAGCGGUCCUGGUGGUGACCCUCCUCCUGGUGCUCUGCCUGCCGGCCGCGGCGCAGGGGCUGGCGCGGUGCGGGGGCUGCGUGGGGAACGGCACGCUGGCGGCGGCACGGGGGCCCGGCUGGGACCAGGCGAUGGCGCAGGUGGCCGCGCUGCAGGCGGAGCUGGGCAGCGUCAAACGGUCCCUGGAGGAGACGCGCGGGCGCUGGGACAGCUGCAGGCUGCACCUGGACACCUUGCAGAGGAACGUCACGGCCCUGGAGCAGGCGCUGGCGCUGCUGUGGCGCCAGGGAUCGGAGCAGGGGGCCAGGACGGCCGCGCUGCAAGAGGAGAACAGGGAGCUCAAGGAGGAGUUGGCACAGCAAAGGCAGCAGCUGGAGGACGUGCAGAGGGGCAGGUGANNNNNNNNNNNNNNNNNNNNNNNNNNNNNNNNNNNNNNNNNCAGUCUCCAGUCGCAGAUCUCGAACCUGCUGCAGCAGCUCCAGGCCCUGCAGAGCAGGACCUCGAGCGGCACCCAGCCCCCAGCCUCGAGCCUGGCCGCGCACCUCAGUCUCCUGGCCCUCGCGGGGACGCUCUUCCUUUGAGCCCGAAGCAGCCGGCACGAGGGCCCAGCCGAUCCUCCGUCCCCCGUUGCCCUGAUGUGGGGUGAGGAGGGACCGUCUCCAUCCGGAGGGGCGGCAGCUCAAGGAGUGCCCGGUCCAGGAGCCCCCGUCCCUGCUCAGCCCUGCCUCCAGCUCACCUCAUCCCCCACCGCCUCCAAACCCACCCUGGCCCCAUUCACUGCCAGAGCGUCCCGGGGACACAGCUUGCUUCCAGCUGCAAACCGCUGGCCAGCUGUGCCAUGCCCGGGCCAGGCAGGGGCCUCGGACUCGCCACGGUUUGAUAGUAUUUAACCUAAUAAAAACUUGUGAAAAGCCA
Molecule: long non-coding RNA, 1082 nt
Filed under: Apteryx rowi (Okarito brown kiwi)
Lineage: Eukaryota; Metazoa; Chordata; Aves; Apterygiformes; Apterygidae
Description: lncRNA (ENSARWG00000015691.1)
Source: RNAcentral